UCCCGUAAACGGCGUAAAGAGUGGUACCAUGAUAUCACAACAAUUAAGACCAAAGCGCAACUAAGCUGUCAUAAGCCUAAGAUGUGUCUAAGACUCCCCUCAAAAUGAUCUUAGCACUUUUGAUUAAUUUAAACCCACGAAAGCUAAGGCACAAACUGGGAUUAGAUACCCCACUAUGCUUAGCCCUAAAUCCUGAUGUCUUCUCACUACUAAAGCAUCCGCCUGAGAACUACGAGCACAAACGCUUAAAACUCUAAGGACUUGGCGGUGCCCCAAACCCACCUAGAGGAGCCUGUUCUAUAAUCGAUAACCCACGUUACACCCGACCGCCCCUUGCUAAAGGCAGCCUACAUACCGCCGUCGCCAGCUCACCUCCCCUGAGAGUUCAAUAGUGAGCACAACAGCCCCAACCCGCUAAUAAGACAGGUCGAGGUAUAGCCUACGGGGUGGAAGAAAUGGGCU
This 462-nucleotide ribosomal RNA is filed under the name Limosa limosa (black-tailed godwit). RNAcentral describes it as "partial 12S ribosomal RNA". It matches the Rfam family "Bacterial small subunit ribosomal RNA", at positions 543 to 1226 of the family's 1533-position model. Lineage: Eukaryota; Metazoa; Chordata; Aves; Charadriiformes; Scolopacidae. The record is from RNAcentral.